RNAcentral lists this ribosomal RNA (233 nucleotides) under uncultured bacterium. RNAcentral's name for it is "partial 16S ribosomal RNA". It matches the Rfam family "Bacterial small subunit ribosomal RNA", at positions 524 to 776 of the family's 1533-position model. The record is from RNAcentral.
UACGUAGGGUGCGAGCGUUAAUCGGAAUUACUGGGCGUAAAGCGUGCGUAGGCGGUUCUCCAAGUCCGUUGUGAAAGCCCCGGGCUCAACCUGGGAAUGGCAGUGGAAACUAGGGGACUGGAAUCUGGCAGAGGGGGGUGGAAUGCGUAGAUAUCUGGAGGAAUACCGGUGGCGAAGGCGGCAUCCUGGACCGGCAUUGACGCUGAUGAGCGAAAGCUAGGGGAGCAAACGGG